Syngnathus typhle (broad-nosed pipefish) is the source of this 446-nucleotide long non-coding RNA. RefSeq lists it as uncharacterized. NCBI's taxonomy places the organism in Eukaryota, Metazoa, Chordata, Actinopteri, Syngnathiformes, Syngnathidae. The transcript has 3 exons. The record is from RefSeq and is a predicted model, not a curated record.
GAGGUGUUCUUUGGUCCAAGGGAUCAGACGGUCAAAGAAGGAGAGGAAGCCUCCUUCCGCUGCGUGUCUGGCGAAAGCUCGUCACCCGCCGCCAUCCUGUGGAUCAAAGAUGGCAGCGUUCUCACCACAGGGAGGCAAAGCCAGGGAGAAUACGGAGGCGGGCGUCAGAGGAAGACGUCAGGAACGCUUCGUCUGGUCAACGUGAGCGCUGAAGACGGUGGCGUGUACGUGUGCCAGACCGUCAACCCUUCGCUCAACAUCAGCCGGAGGAGCAAGCCAGCCAAGCUCACCGUGCUCGCCGCCCCUUUGGUGACCUUGCGGCCCUCCGCCUUAACCGUAGCCUUGGGGGGCCGAGCGUCCCUGCAUUGCGAGGCGUCGGGCGAGCCCCCGCCAUCCAUCAGCUGGCUGAAGAGAGGCCACUCCAAGCAGACGGGGGCCAAGAUGAC